RNAcentral lists this long non-coding RNA (213 nucleotides) under Lathyrus oleraceus (garden pea). RNAcentral describes it as "Pisum sativum (pea) long non-coding RNA (PSAT_LNC036035)". Lineage: Eukaryota; Viridiplantae; Streptophyta; Magnoliopsida; Fabales; Fabaceae. The record is from RNAcentral.
AAAAAUCACAACUCUUUCAUUUUAAUUCCAAAAAAUAUGGGACCAAUUGCAUUAUUUCUCUUUUAAUUUUUAGUUUCUAAAAAUGAUUUUUAAUAUUUUUUAUUUUACCAUUUGAUAUUUUUUUAUGAAUUUUCUCUUUUCUUGUUAUUUUUAGUUCAUUUUAAAUAGUUUCUGAUAUUCAAAAAAUAUCAAAAUAUUUUCCUAACCUCUUUG